GCGUCCUUAGUUCAGUUGGUAGAACGGCGGUCUCCAAAGCCGCAUGUCGGAGGUUCGAGUCCUUCAGGGCGCG
RNAcentral lists this transfer RNA (73 nucleotides) under Heliobacteriaceae bacterium. RNAcentral's name for it is "tRNA-Trp". It matches the Rfam family "tRNA". Rfam says of the family: Transfer RNA (tRNA) molecules are approximately 80 nucleotides in length. Their secondary structure includes four short double-helical elements and three loops (D, anti-codon, and T loops). Further hydrogen bonds mediate the characteristic L-shaped molecular structure. tRNAs have two regions of fundamental functional importance: the anti-codon, which is responsible for specific mRNA codon recognition, and the 3' end, to which the tRNAs corresponding amino acid is attached (by aminoacyl-tRNA synthetases). tRNAs cope with the degeneracy of the genetic code in two manners: having more than one tRNA (with a specific anti-codon) for a particular amino acid; and 'wobble' base-pairing, i.e. permitting non-standard base-pairing at the 3rd anti-codon position. Lineage: Bacteria; Bacillati; Bacillota; Clostridia; Eubacteriales; Heliobacteriaceae. The record is from RNAcentral.